AGGGUUACAGCUAAGGAAAGGAUAAAUGGGAGAGAAGAACAGGACAUCCUCACCACCAUCGUCUUAGCAUCAAAGACCCUCUUUUUUCUUCUUCCAAAUUCUGUUCUUGUAAUUUUGUUACAAUCCAACCAUGGCUUCCUCUAGCAAUUCUAAGAGACCCUUUUGUUCUUCUUCUUCUUCUAAUUCUAAAUGGAGGUACGAUGUGUUCUUGAGUUUCAGAGGCGAGGAUACCCGCAACAACUUUACUAGUCAUCUCUACAAGGAUUUGGAUAAGGCCAACAUUAAAACCUUUAAAGAUGAUGAAGAACUUCGAAAGGGAGGAGAGAUUGCACCCGAGCUCCUAAAAGCUAUUGAAGAAUCAAGGAUCGCCAUUAUCGUCUUCUCGAAAACCUAUGCUCAUUCCAAGUGGUGCUUGGAUGAACUCGUCAAGAUCAUGGAGUGCCAGAAAGAAAAGGGACAAAUAGUUUAUCCCGUUUUCUAUCACGUACGGCCGUGUGAAGUCAGGAACCAGUAUGGGACUUAUGGAGAAGAAUUUAAGAAACACGAGAGCAAUGCGGACGAGGAGAAGAAGAAGAAAAUAGGGGAGUGGAGGACUGCCUUAAGGAAAGCCGGUGAUUUGAGUGGAUUUAGUCUGCGGGAUAGGUAAUCCCUACUUCACUUUUUCCAUUUCCAAUUUUCUGUCAGUUUAUUUUCAUUCUUGUUAGUAAAUAAAAUAUUUAUGAUUACAUAUAUCAAUCAAAAUCCAGUUUUUAAGUAGUAGACAUUAAUAUGUUUGAUUUCUUGGAAAGUAAUAAGAAGAGUUAAAAAUAAAUAAAAAUAAAAAUUUAAAAAAUUUGAUUUUCUUAUAUUUAAUGUAUUAUUAAAAAAUAUGAAAGAAAAUAAAAAUAUAAUUAAAAUACAUUGUAAAAAUAUAUAUAAUUAGUUUAUAAUUAAAAUAAUCUUAGAAAAUCUAUAGUAGUUGUUCUGGGCUCAUUCAGGCCCAACAGGUAAUCCCUAUUUCACUUUUUCCAUUACCAAUUUUCUGUCGGUUUAUUUUCAUUCUUGUUAAUAAAUAAAAUAUUUAUGAUUACAUUUAUCAAUCAAAAUCCAUUUUUAAGUAGUAGACAUUAAUAUGUUUGAUUUCUUGGAAAGUAAUAAGAAAGAGUAAAAAAAAAAAUUGACUUUCUCACAUUUAAUUUAUUAUUAAAAUUAUAAAAGGAAAUCAAAUAUAAUUAAAAUAUAUCGAAAAAAAAAAUAUUUGCCUACAAUUGGGAUAAUAUUAGAAAAUCUAUAGUAGGUGUUGUGGGCUCAUUCAGGCCCAGGUAAUACUGGUAAAAAAAUAAAAUAAAAUAAUUAUGCCAAAUGCCAAGUUUUGAAUUGUUAAAAAUCUUUAAGAUUCCAAAAUAUUCUUCCUUUCUAAUCAAUCCAUCUCAGCCAUAAUUUCUAUCAAUUAAAUUGUUCAAAUUGGUUAUUUAUAUGCUUUGUAAAUUUGGAGAUAAUCUGAGAUGAUUAUUUAAAAUAUUGUAAUACUACCCUAAAUUUUUUUGGACCCUCUUAUGGGACAAAAAACUUAGUUAUUGCACCCUUAACCUUUUUCAAUUUUAGAGGAAUUUUCUAUUACUAAAAUAAUUUUCUCAUGUUCUCUGUGCACUACAUGAGUUUACAUUUCUUCUUUACUUAAUAUUGUUUGUUCCUCUAUAUUUGCAAGUUGAUUAUUAAAUUUAUUUACCUUUUAAUCUAAUGUUUGUAUCUCGUUUUAUUCUAAUUAUCCCAUGACAUCUGGAUAAUCUCUUCUUAAGACCUUGACAUGACAUAAUGAAAUUUUAUUUAAACAUGCAAUUCAACACAUUUUUAAUUUACAUUCUAUUUGACCUUAAUUUAAUUGCACCGAACUAAAGAUCAUUCUAUAAUUUCCAUUUACUUCAUCUUUGUUUUCUUUGACAAUUGAUUGUAGCUUACUCCAUGUUUUAUUGUACUUUAUAAUGGACAGAUCUGAGGCAGAGUUUAUUGAAGAAAUCAUUGGUGAGAUUCGAAGAUUAAUUCCUAAGUGGGUACAUGUUGGUGAGAAUAUUGUUGGAAUGGAUGAAAAUUUGAAAAAAGUGAAGUUAUUGAUAGAUGCCCAAUCAAAUAAAGUGAGUAUGGUUGGGAUUUAUGGGACUGGUGGGAUUGGUAAAACUACCAUCGCCAAGGUUGUUUACAAUGAUAUGUUAGAUCAAUUUAAAUGUCACAGCUUUCUUGAAAAUGUGAGAGAGAAAUAUGAAGAUAAAGGUGAUUUGCUUCAAUUACAAAAAGAACUUCUUUGUGAUAUCCUAAUGGAGAAAAAUCUGGUGUUAAGGAAUAUUGAUGAAGGAUUUAAAAAGAUAAAGAGUAAGCGUCACUCUGAAAAGGUUCUUAUUGUUCUUGAUGAUGUAGGUUGUGAAGAACAAUUAAAAUUCUUAGCUCCUAAUUCUGAAUGUUUUCAUCCAGGAAGCAUAAUCAUUGUGACCACGAGAAAUAAGCGUUGCCUAGAUGUAUAUGACUCGUAUUCAUCAUAUGAGGCUAAGAGAAUGGCAGACAAGCAAGCUGAGGAACUCUUUUGUUGGAAUGCCUUCAAGCAAGACCAUCCCAUAGAAAAUUUUGUGGGCCUCUCUAAUCGUAUACUGGAUUAUGCUGACGGCCUUCCAUUGGCUCUUGUAGUUUUGGGUUCUUUUCUCUUUCAAAGGCCUAUGGAUGAAUGGGAAAGCACAUUGGAUGAACUCAAAACAAUCCCUCCCGAGAAUAUUCAAAAGGUACUCCAGAUAAGUUAUGAUGGACUAAGUGAUGAACGCAAGAAGUUGUUUCUUUAUAUUGCAUGCUUCUUCAAAGAUGAGGAUGAAAAAAUGGCAACAAGAAUACUAGAAAGUUGCAAAUUACAUCCCGCUAUUGGACUAAGAGUUCUUCAUGAGAGGUGUCUUAUUUCUAUAGAGGACAACACUAUAAGGAUGCAUGACUUGUUACAAGAAAUGGGUUGGGCAAUUGUUUGCAAUGAUCCAGAACGUCCAGGAAAAUGGAGCAGAUUGUGCGAAUUACAGGAUAUUGAAAGUGUAUUAUCACAAAAUGAGGUAAGAGAAAAAUACAUGAACAUACUUGAGAUCUAAAGACAUAAAAGAUUCAACAAGAUUUAUUUUUAUUAUUAUUAUAGUUUGAGUAUAUUAUCUAUAUAAUUUUAGUGAAUCCCUAUGCAUCUUAUACUGCUCAUUCUCAAUCCUUGUUUUCAGUGGACAAAAAACAUUGAGGGGAUUUUCACAAGUCAGUCUCGCCAUACAGGAAAACAUAUACAACUUACUACUGAAGUUUUCAGAAAUAUGAAUCAACUUAGAUUGCUCAAAGUCGAAUUCAAUCAGAUCGUGCAGCUUUCCCAAGACUUUGAAUUGCCUUGUCAUGAUUUAGUAUAUUUUCAUUGGGAUUACUACCCUUUAGAAUAUUUGCCAUCAAAUUUUCAUACAGACAAUCUUGUUGAACUCAACCUCUGGUGUAGCCGCAUAAAACAUCUUUGGGAAGGAAAUAUGGUAUUGCUAUUAUUUAGUUAUAUUUUUGUUGUAGACUAAUUUUAAAGUCUUUUGAAGUUUACUUCUUGACACAAAUUUUCUUCUGUUACAGCCUGCUAAAAAGUUAAAAGUCAUUGAUCUUAGUUAUUCCAUGCAUCUGGUUGACAUUUCAAGCAUCUCAAGUAUGCCAAAUUUGGAGACUCUAACUCUAAAAGGUUGUACAAGGUUCCUUAAGUGUUUCAUCCAUGCUAAAUGUUAUUAUCAGUCAUGAACUAAUUGUUUUCUUGAAUAUAAUAGGGUGCACGAGACUUAAGAGUCUUCCAAGGAACUUUCCUAAGUUGGAAUGCCUUCAAACACUCUCUUGUUGUGGCUGUUCAAACUUAGAGAGUUUUCCGAAGAUCGAGGAAGAAAUGAGAAGUCUAAGAAAGCUUAAUUUAAGUCAAACAGGUAUAAUGGGAUUACCAUCAUCAAUUAGCAAGCUAAAUGGGCUUAAAGAGUUGGACUUAAGUAGUUGCAAAAAGCUUUCGAGUCUUCCGGACAGUAUUUAUAGUUUGAGCUCUCUUCAAACUCUCAAUCUAUUUGCAUGUUCACGACUAGUGGGCUUUCCGGGUAUCAAUAUUGGAAGUCUAAAAGCUCUUAAAUACUUGGAUUUGUCAUGGUGUGAGAACCUUGAGAGUCUUCCGAAUAGUAUUGGUAGUUUGAGCUCUCUUCAAACUCUUUUAUUGAUAGGGUGUUCAAAACUGAAGGGCUUUCCAGAUAUCAAUUUUGGAAGUCUAAAAGCUCUUGAAUCGUUAGAUUUCUCAGGUUGCAGAAACCUUGAGAGUCUUCCCGUGAGCAUUUACAAUGUAAGCUCUCUCAAAACUUUGGGGAUUACAAAUUGUCCAAAACUCGAGGAAAUGUUAGAGAUGAAACUAGGGGUUGAUCCAUGCCCCUGGCCAUUUUCACCUCUAACCUGUCACAUUUCAAAUUCAGCAAUAAUCUGGGAUGAUCACUGGCAUGACUGCUUUUCCUCAUUAGAAGCAUUAGACUCACAGUGCCCCCUGUCAUCACUGGUAGAAUUAUCUGUAAGAAAGUUUUAUGACAUGGAAGAAGACAUCCCCAUUGGCAGUUCCCACCUAACCUCAUUGGAAAUAUUAUCUCUGGGGAACGUCCCUACAGUAGUAGAAGGAAUCCUCUAUGACAUUUUCCAUCUAUCUUCAUUGGUAAAAUUAUCUCUUACUAAAUGCAAGCCAACAGAAGAAGGAAUCCCCCGUGAUAUUCAGAACCUAUCUCCACUGCAACAAUUAUCUCUACAUGACUGCAAUCUAAUGAAAGGAACGAUCCUCGAUCAUAUUUGCCAUCUAACAUCCUUGGAAGAAUUAUAUCUGGGUUGGAACCAUUUUAGUAGCAUUCCUGCUGGCAUCAGUCGACUUUCCAAUCUAAAAGCCCUUGACUUGAGUCACUGCAAGAAGCUUCAACAAAUUCCAGAGCUUCCAUCUAGUCUACGAUUUUUAGAUGCGCACUGUCCGGAUCGUAUUUCAUCAAGCCCCUUGCUUCUACCUAUUCAUUCUAUGGUCAAUUGCUUCAAAUCAAAAAUUGAGGUAUGAUUCUCAUGCCACGUUCCUUUUUCUUUUGUACCCAUUGGAUUUACAUGGUGCUUUCGUGCAGGGGCGCAAGGUUAUUAAUAGGUAUUCUUCCUUCUAUGGCAAUGGGAUUGGUAUUGUUAUUCCUAGUAGUGGAAUUCUAGAGUGGAUAACGUAUCGGAAUAUGGGAAGGCAAGUAACAAUAGAGCUCCCUCCGAAUUGGUAUAAAAAUGAUGACUUGUGGGGAUUUGCUUUAUGCUGUGUUUAUGUUGCACCUGCCUGUAAAUCUGAGGAUGAAUCUCAGUAUGAAUCAGGUCUUAUAUCUGAGGAUGACAGUGACCUUAAAGAUGAAGAAGCAAGCUUUUAUUGUGAAUUGACAAUCGAAGGAAAUAAUCAAUCAGAAGACGUGGGUCAUUUCUUUCUUCAUUCUCGCUGUAUUAAGGAUGAUGUAUCAGAUAUGCAGUGGGUGAUAUGUUAUCCCAAGUUAGCUAUUGAGAAAAGUUAUCACACCAAUCAAUGGACACACUUCAAGGCUUCAUUUGGUGGUGCCCAAGUGGAAGAGUGCGGAAUCCGUCUUGUAUACAGAAAAGAUUAUGAACAGAAGCAUCCAAGAAUGGCACAAGGCAGUACUUCUCAUGGGAAUUUUGGUGAGCAUGGAUCAGUAAGAGAAGAUACUGAUAGUAAAGCUCACAAUAAAAGGAAUCCCACAGAACAGAGCCCAGGAGAGGAGUCACACCAUAAAAGAUCCAGAGAAACCCAAGACUGAUCUCAAGUAUUAGGCUCAACCACACUUGCAUCACUAAUGCUCUCUUUACUGGUAAUUCAUCUUCCUUUCUCUUUCUAAUUCAAAGGUCAGAAUUUUUUUUUUAUCGUGUUUCUCCUUUUUAUUUGUUUUUUUUUUCCCCAAGACAAACAAAACUUUGAGGCUAUCACCCAUGGGCGCAAACUUCAAUGGUACACCUCCCAAGUUUGUUUUUCUCUCUCUCCAACCGUCUCUCCCUAGAUUUUUCUGCAUUUUCUUCAAACUCAUAUUUCCAUAUGAAAUUCAAUUACAUUCGAGCAUUUCAAUCUCUGUAGCUACUGUCUGAAUCAAUUAUAGGGUUUCUUUUUUCUGGAAGUUUGUAAUGUUAUUGAUUUAAGACUUCAUGUUUGGGGAUGUUUUGGGUGGCUUGUUCACUGGUAUUACUUGUGAUAAUUGCAGCUCUGGUGCUUUCAAUGACUGACAAUAGUUGAAACUAUGUUGAAUGCUUGUACUAAGGGAAUGGACUUCAGCUGCUCCAGGGUUAGUGCUAUAACAUCAGUAUUCACUCUUCAAGAAUGUAUAUAGUUGUUGUUUUGGAAUUUUGAAAUUACUUAGCAUCAGACAAUUUCUAACUCGGGAUUUGGAUUGGGAACCAUAAGUUAUCUCACCCUAGUGUUCUUUGGAAUAAUUAUAGGAUUUUGUAAGUAACUUUGGACUUGUUAGCAAUGUUCUGGAUUUGUGAAUAAUUUAUAGAAUACAUUGGGUGUUUUUUUUUUUUGGUCCAUCAAAAACUUCAAGAACUUUGAGGGUGAAUAAUGUAUGACUGUACUCUUCUCUAUCUCUGUGGUCAUAGCACACGUAUGAUUUGGUGCUUUUUUGCAGGCCUUCAACAGCAGCAAAGCAUCUGGUGGCUUGCAGUACUAAUCUUGCAUUAUAUUCUCUGUUUUGCAAUCAUUUGGUACUUUUUGUCCCAACCAAGGAUAGCUCUGUGCAAGCAGUCUCGACUGUGGAACAAGUAAAACAAAUGGUACCUGCUGAAGCUGAGAGUGCAGAUGAUAAACUGGUGCGGAAGGUGGUCAACCAAAAGAAUCAGACAGCAAAAACUAAAAAGCCCAUGAAGCCUGCUACUGAAGCAGUCUCAGCACCUGUUUCUAGGAGGGGUGAGAUUGAAGUGACUGAAGAAAAGGAGCAUCAGCAAACAAAGAAGGAAGAGGAGUUGGCCAGGAAGGUAGAGGAAUUGAGAAGUGAAGAAGAAGCAGCCAUGUUGAAGGAGCAAAGUCUGUUGGAGGAGAGAAAGCCAACGUUAAGGAGGCACUGGAAAGGCAACAAGGAACUGCAGAAAAGGCCAAUUUCUCUGUGAGUGCUGCCACCUUUUCAUGAUACAGCCAUCAUAAUGGAUGUUAAAAGCAGUCUAACUCUACAUACUUCCUUGCAUUAUACUAGUCAUUGAUGGGCUUAAAUUUUAAUUUAAAUGUAGUAUAAAUAUAUAAGUAGAUUGAUUGGGUCUGAAUUUGAACCUGGUUCGAGUCAUACUCCCAUCCAAUCCAAACUUGUGAUUGGGCUUGAAUUUCUUGGCCCAACCAGCGAAAUCAUUGACCAACGGCCCUUAGUUUGGGCUGGGCUUGAUGGUCCUCAGGUUAUGUAGGCUUAAUACUGAUUGGGUUUGGGCUUCCAUGCAGUUGUACUUGGAUUCUAUGUUUCCUAAUAUUAACACUAAAUUAGGUUUAAUUUAUAAUUAAAUAUAAUUAGUUUGAGACUAACUCCAAUCUUUAGUUAAACCAACUAAGUUUUAUGCAAAGGUUUAUAUUCCUAAUACCAUCAGGUAUUAUAGUAAAUACCAUUGAAAAACUAAAUUCAUGUGGAAGUUUCACUAGGUGAUACGACAUUAAAUUAUUAAGAUAAAAUUAAAAAAAGAUCAUGCUCGUAUGUCCCGUUGUUUGUCAUAAGAGAAUUUCUUUCUAGAUUUUUUUUUUUUUGCUCUUUUCAAUUCUAGAUAUUUUAAUAUAUCUUUACUUUUUCAAAAACAAUCCAUAGGAUUGUUCCCAAACAUAUAUCAUAUAAAUAUAUAUUUUUAAGAUUGAUUUUUAAGAAUGUUAUCAAAUAAACUCAUAAUAGCAUUUUUUUCUUUACAAUUACCAAUUCGUAUGAUGAAUUAAUUACUUUCAAUAACCGACAUCAUCUAAUCAAAAUUAUAAUUAAGUAUCAUAUUAAAAGAGUGUUUAAAAAAUCAAAUUUAAUAACUUAAAGUGAUUUAAUAAUUUAAUUUAAAUUAUUAAAAUAACUUGAUGUCACAAUUUAAAGUUAGAAAUGACUUAAUUUAUUUUUAUUUAAAUUUAAAACUAAGUUUACAAAAAAGGUUUAAAAUUCAUAUCAAUUAAGAAAUUAAGUCAUUAAGUUACUUUAAGCCAUUAAAUUGAUCUACCAAUUAAACACCCUUGAAGAUAUUACAUAAAGUUCACCUUCUACAUAUCAUGAAAAUUUAAAAUUAAUUACAACAUCAAGAAUCUUUAGUUCCUAAUCGAUAUCAUAUUUAAUCCUUGGUUGUAAAUUUCUUUACAUAUGUAGAUAUAUUUUUAUAUUGCAAGUGGGUUGCCGACUUUUCAUUUUAUACUAGUUUUGAAAUUAAGAUUGUAGUUUUUAUUUUGUCCAAAUCUAAUUUGGAGGGAGAAUCUUUAGAGGCUAUUUUAUAUUCAAAUAGGAAAAUUUUAAAUUUAAUAGUCCCACCUUAUAAAGGCAAAUAUCUUGGACCCUACAUGGGUGCCUCUUACAUGCAAAAGGACAAAGACUUAUUGAAAGCCUCUCUCAUUCACAUGGAUGCCAUCAUUCAUCAAAGUUGAAACAUGAAACCCACACAAAAGCAAUUUCAAUAUUUUUUUUCAUAACUAUAGCUGAGAAUCUCAAUAUUAUUAAAUAGUGACAAAAUUAAUUUCAAUAUUUUUUUUUCUUAUUUUUUGCUCCUUGUGGUUAUAUUUUCAUCUGGAAAGUAUUAAAUAUAUUAAAAAAGAAAAAAAUUAUAAAAAAAUUUUUUUCCUAGUUAAUUAUACUAUGAAAAAUAUAGAGUAAAAUAAAAUAUAAUUAAAAUUAGUUAAAAAAUUAUAUUUUUAUAAAAUUAUUUGACUUUUUUAUAAAAAUUUAAAAUAAGUGACAUGAGUUUGAAAUAGUAUAUAUAUUGACUUUAAUUCUUUCAAAUUAAUCACUAGGUUGUUAGAGACAUACACCUAUGAUCCAAAGGUUUUCCCAACAAAGAUAUCAAUAAAUCUUUCUACUCCAUUGAUUGCAUCUUGAAUUCUUUCAAAUUAAUCACUUCAUUGUAAUCAUUAUUCACUUCAUUGUGAUUUGUCAGACAACAAUUCAUUUCUGCUUCAUGGUUGGACCUUGAGGUAAGGCUUUAGAGGCAUAAGCCUCAAAAGCCUCUUAAAAUUGGUUCUACACUUCUUGCAUGAUGAAUGCAAGUUCCAAAUUUUGAUGACUUGGUAAUGUUGGAGUAAUUGGGUUGAAAGCAGUCAAACACAAAUAUUUAUUAAAGAAGAUAAAAAUUUGGAAGAAUUAAAAUUUUAUUGUAUUCUACCACUCUUUUUUUUAUUCAAAUAUUACAUAAUCCUUUAUUAACUAAAAAUGACAUAAUUAAAAGUAAAUUAUCAUUUGAUUGCAAUGGAUUUAAUAGAAUAUGGUGGAUAUGCUAAAUUUUUGUCUGAUAAUAAAAUUUGAUUUGAGUGAAUAUAAUUAGAGUAAAAUAGUCUUUUUAACUAUCACUUUUACAAUAAAAAGUGUUUUAUUUAAACAAAUAUUUAAUAAAAUUUUAAAAACAUUUGAUAAAUAAUUAUUAUAAAAACUCUUCCUCGAAAAUACUUCAAAGUUCGUCGGAUGGUAAAUUAUACAUCAAGAUCUUAAUGAUGGUCCAUGCAACCAUCACCAUUGAUUGUUUUUGAAAACACAACUUCAAUUUAAAUAAUAUUUUAAGGUAACUCCUAGUUAUCAUAUUUUACAAGAUAUUUUUUAAAAUUAUUGUUUUUUUUCUUUCAAAAUCCUAAGAGAGAGGUCACCAAUAUCAAAAUAAUGUGACCCAUCUCUAUACUAUUGUCUCCAUUAUUUGGACUAUAUCAUAGUUUCCUUAUUGACAACAUGGUAGCCAUGUUAAAUACCUACAACUUUGAAAACAAGAUCUCAAAACUAUGCCUAUUUGAUUAUAAGGCUUAAUUAUUAUAGUUUAUCAUUUCCUAGCAUAUAUAGUUCUUAGCAUCUAAGUAUUUGUUAUAUAAGAAUUUUUCUCAUUUUUCAAGCUUGCAUUUUGUUUAGAAAUUUUUUGAGUUUUUUACAAUCAUUUUGAAAAUGUCAACUCAUAAUUAUAUACAUUUUAGUUCUAUAAGGACUAAAAUCACUUAACAUCAUGGUAAUACUAUUUAAGGUAAUUUGCUUUGAAUCAGAAUGAACUUAUAUACAACUUACGAUUUAUGGUAAUAAUAGAGAUCGAAUUUAAAAAUACAUAAGUUUUCAAUUAAAUAUUAAUAUAUUUAUGUUUCCUUCUUAUUUUUAAUCCUAAAACACAUUAAAUGUAUGCUCUUGAAUUCCUCCAUGUAAUGCGAUUUGAUAUAAUGAUAAAUCAACAAUUAUGAUUUAAUAAUAUGGUGCUUUGACUUUUGACAUUUAAGUAACACCGUCAAUAAAAGCUCCAUAUCUUUGCUUCAUGGAAGAACGUACAAAUGAUGUGAUUGAAUUACAUUUCAAUUAUGUUUGAUUCUUUGAAAAUACUCAAGAAAAAUAAAUAUUUAAAAAAAUAAUUUUCUCAUAUUUGAUUUUACUAUAAAAAAAAUACAUAAUUAAAAUUAGUAAUAAAUUUAAAUAAUUUUAAAUUACUUAAUCUUUAUAUAAAAAAGUUAAAUUAGUAAAACGAGUUUAAAACAUGAUAUAAAGGUAAUUUAUUGACUUUAAUUUUUUUUUUUUACUUCACUUUUUCUUUCCUUCUCUUUGAUGAGAUCAUCUUAGAUAAAUUGUUAAUUGAUUGCAGCAUAUUCAAUUGAAUUCGAUAGUCUAGGUAUCAUAAAUCAUACAUGUUGUGCACCAUUUACAGUAAAUGAACCGUCACAAACCAUACAUAGAGGAGAUGUUGAUUUCAUUAUAAAUCAUACGAUAAUUACAAAAGAUAUGAUAUUAACUUGCAGUAAAUUGCAACAUCGGCACUCUAAUGCUAGACAAAGUAACUAGACAAAGUAAGUCUAAUUAUUGCUAACUUUCCUCAUCUUUCUUGGGCCUUUUGGGUGCUUUUUGUGCAAAAGAGAAAAAGCUAUAACUAAAUUGCCAAUCCAUCACCGACGUUAUAGACUGAUGAAGAAUACCAAAGGGAGUGUUACGAAAUAAUGAGAAUAAAUAAUAAGAAAAAUAGAAUAAGAACACAUAGAUAUACGUGAAAAACUUUAGAUGGGAAAAAUCAUGAGAAAACGAGAAAAAGAUCCGUUAUGUCAAAAAUUGGUACAAAAUGGGAGAGUUGAAAGCGACUACAACAAAAGUAUAAUCAUCGUAACCCUAAAACUAUACAUCAUUAUUAUAUAUAUAUAUAUAUGUAUAUAUAUAUAUAUGCGAGAGUUGAGAACAACUAUGGGAUGAGGUCUAUCGACUCGAUCCCUUCACUACCCCCACAAAUCUCUCAAAAAAUCUCAUAAUUUUAACUUUACUACAUAUAUUGCAUCGCGAGCUUUUCGAAUUGAAUAAAAAAGAAUUUGGAAUCAUCAAACAGUAACAAAGGGAGUGAGAUCAUAACUUUGGAAGGAUUUUUUUUUUUUUUAAAUGUAGACUUGAAUGGUAAAUACUAAAAUGUGUUUGAGAGUGAUACUUGAAAGUAUUUUUAAUAUUUUUAAUAUUCGAAAAAUAAAAAAUUUUCAAAUAUUAAAAAUAUUUCCUAAAAUCAAUAUCAAAAACCAUUUUACAAAAUCAGUAUCAAACUAUCAAACAUAAUUUGAAUUUAAAUAGAGACAAGAACAACAUUGACUCUUGACUCACCAAACCAGUCCUAGUUCACUUAUUGAAUGAAAAGAAAAUAAUUAAAAAUAAAUAACAGCAUCCAUUCUACCAUGUUAUGAAGAGUAAAAGACAAUGGAGAUUUUAACUUUGUUGCCUUAAAAGUCAUGCCCCCUUUCAUGAGUAUAUAUAAUAAAAUAUAUUCGUUUGCAUCUCUUGAAUGCAAAUAAUUUGAUAAUUUUUUUAUAAUUAAUUUAUGAAGAUAACAAUUUGAUAAUUAGACAAUUAUGUUGAUAUUUUGACAUUAUUAUCAAUUUACCAAAUAAGAUUGUUUUUCACCCAACAAUAAUUUACUUAGAAUAAUAAAUAAAUUAAAUUAGCUAACGUAACCAAAGCAUUUGAUUAAAAAUUGGUUUUCAUUUACAAAGAUAAGUUGAAAAUUAAUUUUAAUUUGAUUUAAUUAGGAAAUUAAUUUUUUGCUUGUUAAGUUUGUUUUAAUUUGUAAAUUCAUGUAAAUAAAAAAAAGGAUAAAAAGAUAAUUUUCAUGUGAAAAUUCAUUUAAUUUGAAAAUAAAUGAUGUAAUGUGUUUCAUUGUCGGUUAGCAUUUUUCUUUUUUUCUUGUUUGUAUAACUUUUUAAAAUGUAAAAGAUAAUAAUAAAAUAAGAAAUAAUCAAUAAAUUAAAAAAAUAAAAUAAAUGAUCUCACUAAAAAUGUUUUUUUACCUUAUGUCAUAUGACUUGGAUUAUUUUUUUUCUCUUUUCAGUAAAACAAACUUUUAAUAUAAAUAAAAAAAUAAAAUAGGACAUAGAGGAAAAUAGCUAAAGAGUAUAAAAAAAAUUCAAAAUAAUGCACUAAAAAUGGAAAGAGAAUAUGGUGAGUAGUUGAAUAAUAAUAAAUAAAAAAAAGUCAAAAAAGCUUCAAUACUCUUUGAAUCCACUGUUAGUGAAUGCCAAAAGGCAUACAUCAUACACGCAACUAGAAAUAAAAUGGUAAAAUAUAAAGAAAAGAGUCAGAAAAAGCACGAAGACUACAAUUAAUAAUCGUGGCAGGACUUCGACUCUCGUGAACCCCCCACUGUCACUCAAUGCUAUAGGGUUACAGGCUUGGAGCCAAUCAAAGAUAAUUGAGACAGAAGAACCAGACAUCCUCAACACCAUCGUCUCAGACUCUCAGCAUUCAAAGACCCCUUUGUAUUUUCUUCUUCCAAAUUCUGUUCUUGUAAUUUUGUUACAAUCCAACCAUGGCUUCCACUAGCAAUCCCAAGAGACCCUCUUCUUCUUCUAAUUCUAAAUGGAGGUACGAUGUGGUCUUGAGUUUCAGAGGCGAGGAUACCCGCAACAACUUUACUAGUCAUCUCUACAAGGCUUUGGAUCAUGCCAACAUUGAAACCUUUAUAGAUGAUGAAGGACUUCCAAGGGGAGAAGAGAUUGCGCCCGAGCUCCUAAAAGCUAUUGAAGGAUCAAGGAUUGCCCUUAUUGUCUUCUCGAAAACCUAUGCUCAUUCCAAGUGGUGCUUGGAUGAACUCGUCAAGAUCAUGGAGUGCGAGAAAGAAAAGGGACAACAGGUUUUUCCUAUUUUCUAUCAUGUAGAGCCGUCUGAAGUCAGGAACCAGACUGGGAUUUAUGGAGAAGCAUUUAACAAUCACGAAAGAAAUGCAGACGAGGAGAAGAAGAAGAAGAAGAUAGAGCAGUGGCGGACUGCCUUAAGGAAAGCUGGUAAUUUGAGUGGAUUUCCUCUGCAGGAUAGGUAAUCCCUACUUCACUUUUUCCAUUCCCAAUUUUCUGUCAGUUUAUUUUCAUUCUUGUUAAUAAAUAAAAUAUUUAUGAUUACAUUUAUCAAUCAAAAUCCAUUUUUAAGUAGUAGACAUUAAUAUGUUCGAUUUCUUGGAAAGUAAUAAGAAAGAGUAAAAAAAAAAAAAAAAAAGAUUUUCUCACAUUUAAUUUAUUAUUAAAAUUAUAAAAGGAAAUCAAAUAUAAUUAAAAUAUAUCAGAAAAAAUUAUAUUUGCCCAGCAGGUGGAAAUGCCAAGUUUUGAAUUGUUAAAAAUCUUUAAGAUUCCAAAAUAUUCUUCCUUUCUAAUCGAUCCAUCUUAGCCAUAAUUUCUAUCAGUUAAAAAAAAUGGUAGUCUGUCAAAUAAAUUGUUAAAAUUGGUUAUUUAUAUGCCUUGUAAAUUUGGAGAUAAUCUGAGAUGAUUAUUUAAAAUAUUGUAAUACUACCCUAAAUUUUUUUGGACCCUCUUAUGGGACAAAAAACUUAGUUAUUGCACCCUUAACCUUUUUCAAUUUUAGAGGAAUUUUCCAUUACUUAAAUAAUUUUCUCUUCUUCUCUGUGCACUACAUGAGUUUACAUUUCUUCUUUACUUAAUAUUGUUUGUUCCUCUAUAUUUGCAAGUUGAUUAUUAAAUUUAUUUACCUUUUAAUCUAAUGUUUGUAUCUCGUUUUAUUCUAAUUAUCCCAUGACUCUUCUUAAGACCUUGUCUUUCACGUUGAAUCAUCUAAUGCUAAACUUAUUCCCUUACUAUUCUACUUUGUGUACUCAUGGGAUUAAUGUAUUGCAAUCAAAAUUAUUUUUUUUAAUCUCUUUUUCUCUUGUAUGUUCUACAUUCCUCUAUACCUCACAAAUAAAAGCAAGUAACCUUACAGCUUGUUUGACAAUAUAUUUGCAACUAAUGUUCAAAAAAUAGUUUUCCCCAACACAAUGUUGAAAAUAAUGAACAAAAUUUUAUUUGAAAAUUCAAAUAUGAAGAACGACUUUCUCGACUUAUUAACUAUGAAGGUGCUAUAAAUUUUUGUACAACAUAACAAUUCUCUAAGUAUUAUCUAUAUUUUCAAUUCUUUAUCACAAUACUCUAUAAGAAAAUACCUAAAAACAUUUCAAAUAUGCUCUUAAAAAUGAACUUGUUUACCAAACAAAUUUUUGAAAAUUAUUUUUAAUAAAAGAAAAAAUUAAAAAUAUAAUCAAGUGACAUGAAAUAUGGGAUGAAAAAUAAUAAGUUCUGUAUAUUAGAUUGACUAUACACACAGUUUAUAUUGGAUAUUACAAGAGAAGAAAUAAGAAACAAGAGACAUAAUAGAAAACUAACUUAUUCAUAAACUAACUUAUUCCUAAAUCAUAAAACUAUCUAUUUACAAAAAUAAAAAACUAAUAUAAUAUGAAAAUAAUUCUCCUAUUCUAUUUACAGCUCAAUUACAACCUAUUUACAGCUCAACACUCCCCCUCAAGCUAAGGAAUAGAUGUCUUCCAUUCCAAGCUUGAAUACAAGAUCGUGAAACAUUGAACUGUUCAGCCCUUUUGUUAGGAUAUCAACUAAUUGAUGUUUUGAUGGAACAUAGGACAUACACACUACUCCUUCCUCCAAUUUUUCUUUGAUAAAAUGCCUAUUAAUCUCAAUAUGUUUUGUCCUAUUGUGUUGUAUAGGGUUAUGAGCAAUAUUGAUAGCUGACUUGUUGUCACAAUAGAGCUUCAUAUGACCAUCCCACUUGAUUCUCAAAUCAUCUAGAAUAAUCUUCAGUCAAAGUAGUUCAUACAACCCUUGAGCAAUGUCCCUAAACUCUGAUUUUGCAGACGACCUUGCUACCACAUUCUGCUUUUUACUUUUCCAUGUUACCAGAUUACCUCGAGGAAAAGUACAAUACCCUAUAGUUGAUCUUCGAUCCACUAGGGAACCUGCAUAGUCAACGUCAGUAUAUGCUUCUAGAGUAAGAGUAUUGUUCUUUUUGAACAAAAUUCCUUUCCCGGGGUUGCCUUUCAAGUAAUGCAGCACCCUGUAAGCAACUUGAAGAUGAGGUUCUCUUGGAUCAUGCAUGAAUUGACUGAUCACGCUCACCGAGUAGGCGAUGUCUGGCAAGUGUGAGCAAGGUAUAUGAGCCUACCAACUAGCCUUUGGUACAUUCUUUUAUCCACCACUGGUUCUUCUUUAGCUUCUCCCAACUUGUGAUUUGGAUCCAUUGGGGUAGAGACUAGUUUACACCCAAUCUUCCUUGUUUCUGUCAAUAAAUUAGUCACAUACUUUUGUUGAUAGAUGAAGAUCUCUUGUGUGGAAUAUGCCACCUCAAUAUUGAGGAAGUGCUUUACUUUCCCUAGUUCCUUUAUCUCAAACUCUGUUGCUAAUCUUUGCUUCACUUCAUGCUUUUCUCUCUCAUCAUUUCCAGUCAUUAUGAUGUCGUCAACAUAGACUAGAAAAGCAAUUACUCCCCCUGUAGCCGAGUGCUUAAUGAAGAGAGUGUGGUCACCUUGGCUUUGCUUGUACCCAUACUCUUUCAUGACUUUUUCAAAUCUCUCAAACCAAGCCCUAGGAGAUUGUUUUAGCCUAUAAAGGGCCUUUUUCAGCCUACACACCUUGUUACCUAUGUUUCCCUCAAAUCUUGGUGGGAUGUUCAUGUAAAUCUCUUCAUCUAAAUCACCAUGAAGAAAUGCAUUCUUAACAUCAUACUAUAGGAGUUGCCAAUUGUAGUGGGUAGCCAAGGACAGUAGGAUUCUUAUAGUAUUCAUUUUUGCAACUGGAGCAAAAGCCUCCUGAUAAUCAACUCCAUAAGUUUGAGUGUACCAUUUGGCUACCAAUCUUGCUUUAUGUCUCUCAAGAGAUCCAUCAGUCUUAUAUUUCAGCGUGAAAAUCCACUUGCAAUUAACAAUGUUUUUCCCUUUCGUCUUUCAACAAUCUCCCAUGUUUUAUUAUUUUCUAAUGCAUUCAUCUCCUCUCUCAUAGCAUCCUUCCAUUCCCUUUUUGUCAAUACCUCAGAAACAGUGUUAGAGAUGAUAGUGGUGUUUAAACUCACAAUGAAAUUCUUGUGGGCUAGUGAUAGGUGCUUAAGAGACACAUAGUGUGAUAGUGGAUAGAGUGGUUAAUUAGUGCAUUAUCCGGUGCCUUUUCUGACAGCAAUGAGAAGGUCUAGGUCUAGGUUGUCUGUUGAGUCAAUGGAAGUUUCACCAAGUUGUGUAUGUAAAGGUGGGUCUAAUCUUACCGUGAUUUCAUUCCUAGGAUUUGAGUUGGAUUCUUGGACCUGCUAUUGUUCUGGAAUGACCUUUUCCCUUUAAUACAUCUUAGGAAACUGUGGAAAAUUACAAGUGACACUGGUUGGAAUAGGGAAUGACACGGGUUUAGUGGUAAAAUUGGGUGACUCAGGUGUGAUUAGUUCGGAUGACUCAAGUUCUUCAUCACCAUGGGUUGAGACAUGAGGAAGGUUAAGAGGUUCAAAGGAGUCACAAGGACUAUCCUCCAUCAUUGAAAUCUCCCCCUAAAUAGAGGACUUGGGAAAAAAGGUUUAUUUUCUGUGAAGGUGACAACUGCAGAGAUGUAAAAUUUUCUGGCUAAGGGAUUGUAACACUUGUAUCCUUUUUGAGUAGAUGAGUAAACCAAGGAAGACACAUUUUAUGGCUCGGGGGUCUAGCUUGUCUCUAUGAUGGUUGUGGACAUGAACAAAUGCAAUGCAUCAAAAUACACUAGGAGUGAGCCCAUAUGAGGUUCUAAAGUGUGGAUAGAAACUCUUAAGUAUCUCUACGGGGCUUUUGUUGUCUAACACUUGUGAGAGAAUUCUAUUUAUCAUGUAUGUGGCAGUAAGAACAGCUUCCCCCCAAUAGGACUUAGGAACAUUCCCUUGAAAGAGUAAGGCUCGGGUUGUGUUGAGUAAAUGCCCAUUUUUUCUCUCGGGUAUCCCAUUUUGUUGGGGUGUGUUAACACAUGAUGAGUCAUGGAGAAUGCCCUGUGAUUGAAAAUUGGGUGACAAAGUAUGGUUAAAGUAAUCUCUAGCAUUGUCUGUCUUAAAACUUUUUAUUUUAACCCCAAAUUGGUUUUGAACCAUUGAGUGGAAAUUAGGUAUAACAAUGCUAACAUCAGAUUUUUGUUUAAGAAGAAAGAUCCAUGUAAUCUGAGUGCAGUCAUCAAUUAAGGAUACAAACCAACGAGCCCCAUAAACAUUAGGUAUAGUCGAAGGACCCCAUAUGUCACUAAGAAUCAAAUGAAAAGGAUGAGAACUUCUUUUAUUGCUAAUAGGAAAAAAUUCACGAGUAUGUUUUGUCAAUUCACAAGUUUUGUAAUGAAACUUAGAAAUAUCUAAUCCUUGAAACAAAUGAGGAAACAUGACCUUUAAAACCCUAAAAGAUGGAUGACCUAGACGUAGGUGAUACAACCAAAUGGUAUCUUUAUUUAAGGAACUCUAAAAAGACACACAAAUUAUUACUAGUUUUCUGAGAUGAUUCAAGGUGAUAAAGACCGCUCAUUUCCUUAGCAAGUCCAAUCCUCCUUCCCGAGCCUUGUUCCUGAAAAACACAAUAAGAAUGGAAAAAAAUAGCAGAACAUUUAAGAUCAUGGGUAAGCUUUUGAAUGGAAACAAGGUUGGCCGACAAUUUUGGUACAUGGAGGACAUUUUUAAGAAUAAGGGUAGGUGUGAUAUAUAUGUCUCUGAAACCUGCAACGGUAACUAAAAAGCCAUUGGCCAUUGCAAUUUUCUUGUUACUUGGGUUUGAGGUAUAGGUAUGGAAAAGUUGAGAUUUGGAGGUCAUAUGGUCUGUGGCACCGAAGUCUAUUAUCCAAUAGUCAUUAUAAACCUUGUGUGAGGCAUUUAUGCAAAAUGAGAGUGAAGGUGUACCUGAAUUUUCCAACAUCUUCCACGAAAAAAAAAACCUGAUCUCUUGGGAAUUAAGGUAGAUCGCGAAACAAAAAAACCAGCAACAAUGAAGGUUGGUAAAAGAACACGUGAAUAAAAAAAAUCUAACUAUGAAGGCCAGAAAAAUGGCGAUGAAGGCCAGAAUGAUGCCCAGGUCUUAAAAACCUACUGCUCUGAUACCAUGACACGAAAUGUGGGAUGAAAAAUAAUAAGUUUUGUAUAUUAGAUUGACUAUAUACAUAGUUUAUAUUGGAUAUUAUAAGAGAAGAAAUAGGAAACAAGAGACAUAAUAGGAAACUAACUUAUUCCUAAAUCAUAAAACUAUCUAUUUACAAAAAUAGGAAACUAACAUAAUAGGAAAAUAAUUCUCCUAUUCUAUUUACAGCUCAAUUACAACCUAUUUAUAGCUCAACAUUAAGUUAUAAAACUAUUUUAUAUUCUAAAGAAAAAAAAAAUCUAUUUUCAAAAACAAUAUCUAUAUAAGCAUUUUUCUUUUAAGUAUGAUUUUAAAAUGUUUUUCCAUGAGUCUAAUUGUUGCUAGGAUUUUGACCAAUAAACAAAUAUGUGUGACUUUCCUCGUCAUUGUAAUUUAUAUUUGGGAAAAAAAUGGGGAUUUCAUCAAAAUAUGAAACUUAUGUAACAAUUAUUAGCAACCUAAAUAUAAAUAAAACUAAAACGGAGAAUUUACUUGUUUAUGGAAUAAAUAGUUGAAAAUUUUAUAAGCAUUGAGGAUGGUCAUAAAUCAUGUUGUAAUUAAUAAAAGCAUUUCUAGGUUAUGGAACUUGGGUGGCAAAUUGGUAGAUUUCUAGCCAAACUAGUAUUUGUCUCUAUAAUAAAAUCUCUUAUCAUAAAGGGUAAUGAUACUUUAGAAAGGUCAACUUCAAAUUGGGCCUUUAGAAGCAAUUAAGAUAUUUACAUUAUUUUAUUGCAUGUAUACUUGACAUGACAUAAUGAAAUUUUAUUUAAACAUGCAAUUCAACACAUUUUUAAUUUACAUUCUAUUUGACCUUAAUUUAAUGGCACCGAACGAAACUAAGAAUCAUUCUAUAAUUUCCAUUUACUUCAUCUUUGUUUUCUUUGACAAUUGAUUGUAGCUCACUGCAUGUUUUAUUGUACUUUAUAAUGGACAGAUUUGAGUCAGAGUUUAUUCAAGAAAUCAUUGGUGAGAUUCGAAGAUUAACUCCUAAGUUGGUACAUGUUGGUGAGAACAUAGUUGGAAUGGAUGAAAAUUUGAAAGAGGUGGAGUUAUUGAUAAACGCCCAAUCAAAUGGAGUGAGCAUGGUUGGGAUUUAUGGGAUUGGUGGGAUUGGUAAAACUACCAUUGCCAAGGUUGUUUACAAUGAUAUGUUAGAUCAAUUUCAACGUCACAGCUUUCUUGAAAAUGUGAGGGAGAAAUCUAAAGAUGAUCAUGGUUUGCUUGAAUUACAAAAAAAACUUCUUUGUGAUAUCCUAAUGGAGAAAAAUCUGAAGUUAAGAAAUAUUAAUGACGGUAUCAAAAUGGUAAAGAGGAAGUGUCGCAUUGAAAAGGUUCUCAUUGUUCUUGAUGAUGUAGAUUGUCAAAAACAAUUAAAAUUCUUAGCUCCUAAUUCUGAAUGUUUUCAUCAAGGAAGCAUAAUCAUCGUGACCACGAGAAAUAAACGUUGCCUAGAUGUACAUAAGUCAUAUUCAUCAUAUGAGGCUAAGGGAUUAGCACACACGCAAGCUAAGGAACUCUUUUGUUGGAAUGCCUUUCAGCAAGACCAUCCCGAGUAUGAGGACCUCUCUAAUUGUAUACUAGAUUAUGCUAAAGGCCUUCCAUUGGCUCUUGUAGUUUUGGGUUCUUUUCUCUAUCAAAGGGAUGUGGAUUACUGGGAAAGCACACUGCAUAAACUAAAAACAAACCCUCUUGAGGAUAUUCAAAAGGUACUCCAGAUAAGUUAUGAUGGACUAGAUAAUAAAUGGAAGGAGUUGUUUCUUGAUAUUGCAUGUUUCUUCAGAAAUGAGGAUAAAAAAGUUGUUACAAGAAUACUAGAAGGUUGCAAAUUCCAUCCUAAGUCUGGACUAACGGUUCUUCAUGAGAGGUGUCUUAUUUCUAUAACAGACGACACCAUAAGGAUGCAUGACUUGUUACAAGAAAUGGGUUGGGCAAUUGUUCGCCAAAAUUUUCCAGAACAUCCUGAAGAAUGGAGCAGAUUGUGGGAAUUACAGGAUAUUAAAAGUGUUUUACCACAAAAUAAGGUAGGAGAAAAAUACAUGAACUUACUUGAGAUCUAAAGACAUAUAAAAGAUUCAACAAGAAUUAUUUUUAUUAUUAUUAUAGUUUUGAGUAUCUUAUCUAUAUAAUUUUAGUGAAUCCCUAUGCAUCUUAUAUUGCUUAUUCUCAAUGCUUGUUUUCAGGGGACAAAAAACAUAGAGGGGAUAUCCAUAAAUCGGUCUUGGGAUAGUAAAAAACGUAUACAACUUACUGCUGAAGCUUUCAGAAAGAUGAAUCGACUUAGAUUGCUCAAAGUUAAAGGCGAUAUGGUGCAGCUUUCCUAAGACUUUGAAUUGCCUUGUCAUGAUUUAGUAUAUUUUCAUUGGGAUAACUACCCUUUGGAAUAUUUGCCAUCAAAUUUUCAUGUAGAAAAUCCUGUUGAACUUAACCUCUGGUACAGCAACAUAGAACAUCUUUGGGAAGGAAACAUGGUAUUGCUAUUAUUUAGUUAUAUUUUUGCUCUAGACUAAUUUUAAAGUCUUUUGAAGUUUACUUAUUGAAACGAAUUUUCUUCUGUUACAGCCUGCUAAAAAGUUAAAAGUCACUGAUCUUAGUUAUUCCAGGCAUCUGGUUGACAUUUCAAACAUCUCAAGUAUGCAAAAUUUGGAGACUCUAAUUCUAAAAGGUUGUACAAGGUUACUUAAGUGUUUCACCCAUGCUUAAUGUUAUUAUUAGUCAUGAACUAACUGUUUUCUUGAAUAUAAUAGGAUGCAAGAGACUUGAGAGUCUUCCAAGGAACUUUCAUAAGCUGGAAUGCCUUCAAACACUCUCUUGUGAUGGCUGUUCAAACUUAAAAGUUUUCCGAAGAUCAAGGAAGAAAUGAGAAGUCUAAGAAAGCUUAAUUUAAGUCAUACAAGUAUAAUGGAAUUAACAUCAUCAAUUAGGCAUCUAAAUGGGCUUGAAGAGUUGGACUUAAGUAAUUGCAAAAACCUUUUGAGUCUUCCGGACAGUAUUGGUAGUUUGAACUCUCUUCAAACUCUCGAUCUAGUUGAGUGUUCAAAACUAGUGGGUUUUACAAAUAUCAAUAUUGGAAGUCUAAAAGCUCUUGAAUAUUUGGAUUUGUCAUGGUGUGAGAACCUUGAGAGUCUUCCAAAUAGUAUUGGUAGUUUGAGCUCUCUUCAAACUCUUUUAUUGAUAGGGUGUUCAAAAUUGAAGGGCUUUCCAGAUAUCAAUUUUGGAAGUCUAAAAGCUCUUGAAUUGUUAGAUUUCUCACACUGCAGAAACCUUGAGAGUCUUCCUGUGAGCAUUUACAAUUUGAGCUCUCUCAAAACUUUGGGGAUUACAAAUUGUCCAAAACUCGAGGAAAUGUUAGAGAUUAAAUUAGGGGUUGAUUGGCCAUUUUCACCUCUAACCUGUCACAUUUCAAAUUCAGCAAUAACCUGGUAUGAUGACUGGCAUGACUGCUUUUCCUCAUUAGAAGCAUUAAACCCACAGUGCCCCCUGUCAUCACUGGUAGAAUUAUCUGUAAGAAAGUUUUAUGGCAUGGAAGAAGACAUCCUCAGUGGCAGUUUCCACCUAUCCUCAUUGCAAAUAUUAUCUCUAGGGAACUUCCCUAGCGUGGCAGAAGGAAUCCUCGAUAAGAUUUUCCAUCUAUCCUCGUUGGUAAAAUUAUCUCUUACUAAAUGCAAGCCAACGGAAGAAGGAAUCCCUGGUGAUAUUUGGAACCUAUCUCCACUGCAACAAUUAUCUCUACGUGACUGCAAUCUAAUGGAAGGAAAGAUCCUCAAUCAUAUUUGCCAUCUAACAUCCUUGGAAGAAUUAUAUCUGGGUUGGAACCAUUUUAGUAGCAUACCUGCUGGCAUCAGUCGACUUUCUAAUCUAAAGGCCCUUGACUUGAGUCAUUGCAAGAACCUUCAACAAAUUCCAGAGCUUCCAUCAAGUCUACGAUUUUUAGAUGCGCACUGUUCGGAUGGUAUUUCAUCAAGCCCCUCGCUUCUACCUAUUCAUUCUAUGGUCAAUUGCUUCAAAUCAGAAAUUGAGGUAUGAUUCUCAUGCCACGUUCCUCUUUCUUUUGUACCCAUUGAAUUUACAUGGUGCUUUUGUGCAGGACCGCAAGGUUAUUAAUCAUUAUUCUUACUUCUGGGGCAAUGGAAUUGGUAUUGUUAUUCCUAGAAGUAGUGGAAUUCUAGAGUGGAUAACAUAUCGGAAUAUGGGAAGGAAUGAAGUAACAGUAGAGCUCCCUCCGAAUUGGUAUAAAAAUGAUGACUUGUGGGGAUUUGCUUUAUGCUGUGUUUAUGUUGCACCUGCCUAUGAAUCUCAGUAUGAAUUAGGUCAUAUAUCUAAGGAUGACGCUGAACUUGAAGAUGAAGGACCAGGGUUCUGUUGUGAUUUGAGUAUCGAAGGAAAUAAUCAAUCAGGAGACGUGGGUUUUUUCCUUCUUUAUUCUUGCUGUGUUAAAUAUGAUGUGUCAGAUAUGCAGUGGGUGAUAUGUUAUCCCAAGUUAGCUAUUGAGGAAAGUUAUCACACCAAUCAAUGGACACACUUCAAGGCUUCAUUUGGUGGUGCCCAAGUGGAAGAGUGCGGAAUCCGUCUUGUAUACACAGAAGAUUAUGAACAGAAGCAUCCAGCAAUGGCACAAGGCAGUACUUCUCAUGGGAAUUUUGGUGAGCAUGGAUCGGUAAGAGAAGAUACUGAUAGUAAGCUCACAAUAAAAGGAAUCCCACAGAACAGAGCCCAAGAGAGGAGUCACACCAUAAAAGAUCCAUAGAAACCCAAGACUGAUCCCAAGUAUUAGGCUCAACCACACUUGCAUCACUAAUGCUAUCUUUACUGGUAAUUCAUCUUCCUUUCUCUUUCUAAUUCAAAGGUCAGAAUUUUUUUUUAUCGUGUUUCUCCUUUUUAUUUGUCUUUUUCCCCAAGACAAACAAAACUUUGAGGCUAUCACCCAUGGGCGCAAACUUCAAUGGUACACCUCCCAAGUUUGUUUUUCUCUCUCUCCAACCGUCUUUCCCUAGAUUUUUCUGCAUUUUCUUCAAACCCAUAUUUCCAUAUGAAAUUCAAUUACAUUCGAGCAUUUCAAUCUCUGUAGCUACUGUCUGAAUCAUUUAUAGGGUUUCUUUUUUCUGGAAGUUUGUAAUGUUAUUGAUUUAAGACUUCAUGUUUGGGGAUGUUUUGGGUGGCUUGUUCACUGGUAUUAAUUGUGAUAAUUGCAGCUCUGGUGCUUUCAAUGACUUUGACAAUAGUCGAAACUAUGUUGAAUGCUUGUACCAAGGGAAUGGACUUCAGUUGCUCUAGGGUUAGUGCUAUAACAUCAGUAUUCACUCUUCAAGAAUGUAUAUAGUUGUUGUUUUGGAAUUUUGAAAUUACUUAGCAUCAGACAAUUUCUAACUCGGGAUUUGGAUUGGGAACCAUAAGUUAUCAUUAGAGAGUGUAUGAGAAGGAAUUUUAGAGUGAGAUGGGUGAUGCAUGUUGAGGGAUGAAAGAGGGAUGUAUCUCACCCUAGAGUUCUUUGGAAUAAUUAUAGGAUUUUGUAAGUAACUUUGGACUUACUUGCAAUGUUCUGGAUUUGUGAAUAAUUUAUAGAAUGCAUUGGGUUUUUUUUUUUUGUUUUUUUUUUUGGUCCAUAAGAAACUAAAAGAACUUUGAGAGUGAAUAAUGUAUGACUGUACUCUUCUCUAUCUCUCUGGUCAUAGCACACGUAUGAUUUGGUACUUUUUUGCAGGCUUCAACAGCAGCAAAGCAUCUGGUGGCUUGCAGUACUAAUCUUACAUUAUAUUCUCUGUUUUGCAAUCAUUUGGUACUUUUUGUCCCAACCAAGGAUAGCUCUGUGCAACAGUCUCGACUGUGGAACAAGUAAAACAAAUGGUACCUGCUGAAGCUGAGAGGGCAGAUAAUAAAUUGGUGCGGAAGGUGGUCAACCAAAAGAAUCAGACAGCAAAAACUAAAAAAGCCGAUGAAGCCUGCUACUGAAGCAGUCUCAGCACCUGUUUCUAGGAGGGGUGAGAUUGAAGUGACUGAAGAAAAGGAGCGUGAGCAAACAAAGAAGGAAGAGGAGUUGGCCAGGAAGGUAGAGGAAUUGAGAAGUGAAGAGGAAGCAGCCAUGUUGAAGGAGAAAAGUCUGUUGGAGGAGAAAGCCAACGUUAAGAAGGCAUUGGAAAGGAAACAAGGAACUGCAGAAAAGGCCAAUUUCUCUGUGAGUGCUGCCACCUUUUCGUGAUACAGCCAUAAUAAUGGAUGUUAAAAGCAGUCUAACUCUACAUGGCGUUUAUUUUCCCCAGCCAUAGAUUGGAAUCUGCCAGUCUGACUCUCAUAAGAAAGAAAAUUUUCCAUCGAUCCUCGUAUGGAUUAUUGGAGAAGAUUUUAACAUGGAGUUCACAAGAGAGUUUCUAACACCCACUUAAAAGGACAUUUUAGAAAACUUAUUGAAAAAUAACAUGAGAGUACAUAAAUUUUUAGAUAUUUUUAAAAAUAUUUGAAAAUUUAAAUUAACUAAAAGUAUUUGAAAAAUAUUUGAUUGAAUUAACAAAUAUCAAGUAUUUGCAUAUGAAAAAAUAAUAAACAUUGUGAAGAAUUUUUUUAUUAAUUAGUGCAUAAUAAUUUUAUUUUCCUUUUAAUCACAAAUUAAUCUAUGGCAAAAUCUCAUAUUUGUUGUAGGGACAAUGUUGUCUUACAUUUUUCUUUCAUGAUGGACUCAAAUUUUAAUUUAAAUGUAGUAUAAAUAUAUAAUUAGAUUGAAAUUUCGUCCACUAAGAUUGAUUGGGUAUGAAUUUGAACCCUCGUUCGGGUCAUACUUCCAUCCAAUCCAAGCUUGUGGUUGGGCUUGAAUUUCUUGGCCCAACCAGUAAUGUCAUUGACCAAUAGCCCUUAGUUUGGGCUGGGCUUGAUGGUCCUCAGGCUAUGCAGACUUAAUACUCAUUGGGUUUGGGAUUCCAUGUAGUUGUAAUUAGAUUCUAUGUUUCCUAAUAUUAACACUAAAUUAGGUUUAAUUUAUAAUUAAAUAUAAUUAGAAGAGGAAAAUGAAAUAUCAUAUCCUUGCAAUGAGUUAUGUGGAUAUUUCAUUUAAAAAGUCUAAUGUGAAAGGUUGUUAUGGGUAGUCGUUUUUUGAUGCAAAUUUUCUAUGGAGUCCUAAUCUUAGAAGGCAAUAGAAAAUUCACAACCAAGAUUUCUUAAAAAUAACUACAUUAAAGUGUAAACAAAAUAUCAAACUAGAAUUUCUUAGAAAUAUCAAACUAGAAAGUGAAAUAUAAUACAAUUCAAGUAUGAAAAUGAAGGACAAAAGAAUAGACCAAAUUUGAAAGACCGUUCAAAGACUCGUUUCUUGUUACAAUCCAAUCAUGACUUCCACUAGUAGAGAUCCUCUUCUUCUUCUUCUUCUUCUAAUUCCAAAUUGAGGGACCAUGCGUUCUUGAGUACCCUCAAAAGCUUUUUUGAUCAUUUAUACUGUAUAACCUUACUUGUAAUAACUGUAUAAGAUAUUUGUGCUAAUUGAUAAGAUAUUUGUGCUAAUUGUAUAAAACAUGUCCUUAUACAUCUUGAAUUUAUAAAUUUAUGAAUUUAUGAAUAACCCAAUAAUCAAUGACUUCUUAAUAAAAUUUUUUUAAUUUUGUUGCCUUAAAAGUCAUGUCCCUCCUUUACAAAGCUUCUUAGAAAUUUCAUAUAUUUUUUUUUGUCAUCAUCUAUAUUUCAUAUUUCUUUUUCGUCUUCAAUAUUUGUGUAUAUAUCUAAAAUAAAACCUAUAAGAAAAUGAAAAAUUUACACUUAAAAAGUGUUUAUUUGAAAUUUAGGCAAUGAACUUAAAGGAGUUUGGAAUUACUCCUCGAAGUUGAUAUGUUUGUUUUAAAAUCAAAGUGGAUUUCAAUUUUCUUUAAAUCCACGUUAUGAUAUUACGGUAAUAUGUAGUGUCUUUAAAACCAUGGCUUCCUCUAGCAAUUCUAAGAGACCCUUUUACUCUUCUUCUUCUUCUAAUUCUAAAUGGAGGUACGAUGUGUUCUUGAGUUUCAGAGGCGAGGAUACCCGCAACAACUUUACUAGUCAUCUCUACAAGGCUUUGGAUCAUGCCAACAUUGAAACCUUCAAAGAUGAUAAAGAACUUCGAAGGGGAGACGAGAUUGCACCCGAGCUCCUAAAAGCUAUUGAAGGAUCAAGGAUUGCCCUUAUUAUCUUCUCGAAAACCUAUGCUCAUUCCAAGUGGUGCUUGGAUGAACUCGUCAAGAUCAUGGAGUGCAAGGAAGAAAAGGGACAAAAGGUUUUUCCUAUUUUCUAUCAUGUAGAGCCGUCUGAAGUCAGGAAACAGACUGGGAUUUAUGGAGAAGCAUUUAAC
RNAcentral lists this long non-coding RNA (26833 nucleotides) under Vitis vinifera (wine grape). RNAcentral describes it as "long non-coding RNA (VVIN_LNC006289)". Lineage: Eukaryota; Viridiplantae; Streptophyta; Magnoliopsida; Vitales; Vitaceae. The record is from RNAcentral.